RNAcentral lists this ribosomal RNA (471 nucleotides) under uncultured bacterium. RNAcentral describes it as "bacterial SSU rRNA". It matches the Rfam family "Bacterial small subunit ribosomal RNA", at positions 29 to 511 of the family's 1533-position model. The record is from RNAcentral.
AGUGAACGCUAGCGGCAGGCUUAAUACAUGCAAGUCGAACGAUUAAAGCUCUCUUCGGAGAGUGCAUAGAGUGGCGCACGGGUGAGUAACACGUAAGUAAUCUACCUUCGAGUGGGGAAUAACGUCCGGAAACGGACGCUAAUACCGCAUAAUGCAGCGGCAUCGCAAGAUGACAGUUGUUAAAGGAGCAAUUCGCUUGAAGAGGAGCUUGCGGCAGAUUAGCUAGUUGGUAAGGUAAUGGCUUACCAAGGCUACGAUCUGUAACCGGUCUAAGAGGACGGUCGGUCACACUGACACUGAAUAACGGGUCAGACUCCUACGGGAGGCAGCAGUCGGGAAUUUUGGGCAAUGGGCGAAAGCCUGACCCAGCAACGCCGCGUGAAGGAUGAAGUAUUUCGGUAUGUAAACUUCGAAAGAAUGGGAAGAAUCAAUGACGGUACCAUUUAUAAGGUCCGGCUAACUACGUGCCAG